Molecule: long non-coding RNA, 866 nt
Filed under: Nicotiana benthamiana
Lineage: Eukaryota; Viridiplantae; Streptophyta; Magnoliopsida; Solanales; Solanaceae
Description: long non-coding RNA (NBEN_LNC036576)
Source: RNAcentral
UUUUAUACUCUUUGUUUCCGCUUUCAGUAAUUUCCUAAUUAUCAUGUAUGUGCACGUAGAUCCUUUGAUUUUGAGUGUGACGUUGCUGAUACCAAUUAUUUCGUUGCUUGUCUGUAAUUUGGUGAUAUCAUGCAUGUGCACUGAUCCUGAUUUAAUUUGAGCUUGACGUUGUUGAUCUUCGGAACAGACUAUUUGGGUGCUUCUCAGCCAAAUACUGUGAUAUAGGGAGUGUGAAGUUGGUUAACCUCCUGUUCAAAUAUUUGGAAGAAAAACUUUUAACUUGAUGCCUGCGCCGAUUGGUUCUGUGAACUUGGAAUCCGUAAGGACUCUUCAUCUGUUCUUAAGUUCUCACUGACUUGUCGUGUAAUCAAGGACAACUUGUCCUUUCUUCCUUUGUAUUCUUCCACAAGUGAAGAGCGAAGAAUUUAUCUUUUUUCUACUAUAUGUUUAGUGUAUAAAAGAUAUGUAGCAUCAUGAAGCAGCUCUGCGUCGUGGAAAUUCGUAUUCUACUGUCCUUAUUGUUUGUGGAUCUUUGAAUACCUUGGAAUUAAAAGAUGAAAGAAGGAACCUCAUCUGUGAUUAACUCGUGAAAGUGGUGGUUUUGUUUGUUGCAGUCUUAUUAGGAGAUUUCAACCCUCCUUUCUGUUCUCUCUGCAGGUUCAAAGUGAAUUUCAAAAGGCAUAUGAGAAAGGGAUUCACAAAUCAAAGUGAGCCCGUUUGUUGCAACCUUAUUAGGAGAUUUCAACCCUCAUUUCUGUUCUCUCUGCAGGUUCUAAGUGAAUUUCAAAAGGCAUAUGAGAAAGGGAUUCACAAGUCAAAGUGAGCCUCGUCAAAGCCAUCUCUUGAAGCUGAUUAUUCGUUUUCCA